RNAcentral lists this ribosomal RNA (1372 nucleotides) under uncultured bacterium. Its description in RNAcentral is "bacterial SSU rRNA". It matches the Rfam family "Bacterial small subunit ribosomal RNA", at positions 28 to 1381 of the family's 1533-position model. The record is from RNAcentral.
GAUGAACGCUGGCGGCGUGCCUAAUACAUGCAAGUCGAGCGAACGGACGAGAAGCUUGCUUUUCUGAUGUUAGCGGCGGACGGGUGAGUAACACGUGGAUAACCUACCUAUAAGACUGGGAUAACUUCGGGAAACCGGAGCUAAUACCGGAUAAUACUUUGAACCGCAUGGUUCAAAAGUGAAAGACGGUCUUGCUGUCACUUAUAGAUGGAUCCGCGCUGCAUUAGCUAGUUGGUAAGGUAACGGCUUACCAAGGCAACGAUGCAUAGCCGACCUGAGAGGGUGAUCGGCCACACUGGAACUGAGACACGGUCCAGACUCCUACGGGAGGCAGCAGUAGGGAAUCUUCCGCAAUGGGCGAAAGCCUGACGGAGCAACGCCGCGUGAGUGAUGAAGGUCUUCGGAUCGUAAAACUCUGUUAUUAGGGAAGAACAUAUGUGUAAGUAACUGUGCACAUCUUGACGGUACCUAAUCAGAAAGCCACGGCUAACUACGUGCCAGCAGCCGCGGUAAUACGUAGGUGGCAAGCGUUAUCCGGAAUUAUUGGGCGUAAAGCGCGCGUAGGCGGUUUUUUAAGUCUGAUGUGAAAGCCCACGGCUCAACCGUGGAGGGUCAUUGGAAACUGGAAAACUUGAGUGCAGAAGAGGAAAGUGGAAUUCCAUGUGUAGCGGUGAAAUGCGCAGAGAUGUGGAGGAACACCAGUGGCGAAGGCGACUUUCUGGUCUGUAACUGACGCUGAUGUGCGAAAGCGUGGGGAUCAAACAGGAUUAGAUACCCUGGUAGUCCACGCCGUAAACGAUGAGUGCUAAGUGUUAGGGGGUUUCCGCCCCUUAGUGCUGCAGCUAACGCAUUAAGCACUCCGCCUGGGGAGUACGACCGCAAGGUUGAAACUCAAAGGAAUUGACGGGGGCCCGCACAAGCGGUGGAGCAUGUGGUUUAAUUCGAAGCAACGCGAAGAACCUUACCAAAUCUUGACAUCCUUUGACAACUCUAGAGAUAGAGCCUUCCCCUUCGGGGGACAAAGUGACAGGUGGUGCAUGGUUGUCGUCAGCUCGUGUCGUGAGAUGUUGGGUUAAGUCCCGCAACGAGCGCAACCCUUAAGCUUAGUUGCCAUCAUUAAGUUGGGCACUCUAAGUUGACUGCCGGUGACAAACCGGAGGAAGGUGGGGAUGACGUCAAAUCAUCAUGCCCCUUAUGAUUUGGGCUACACACGUGCUACAAUGGACAAUACAAAGGGCAGCGAAACCGCGAGGUCAAGCAAAUCCCAUAAAGUUGUUCUCAGUUCGGAUUGUAGUCUGCAACUCGACUACAUGAAGCUGGAAUCGCUAGUAAUCGUAGAUCAGCAUGCUACGGUGAAUACGUUCCCGGGUCU